UGGGUAACCUGCCCUUAACUCUGGGAUAAGCCUGGGAAACUGGGUCUAAUACCGGAUAUGACUCCUCAUCGCAUGGUGGGGGGUGGAAAGCUUUUUGUGGUUUUGGAUGGACUCGCGGCCUAUCAGCUUGUUGGUGAGGUAAUGGCCCACCAAGGCGACGACGGGUAGCCGGCCUGAGAGGGUGACCGGCCACACUGGGACUGAGACACGGCCCAGACUCCUACGGGAGCAG
This 232-nucleotide ribosomal RNA is filed under the name uncultured bacterium. RNAcentral describes it as "partial 16S ribosomal RNA". It matches the Rfam family "Bacterial small subunit ribosomal RNA", at positions 118 to 347 of the family's 1533-position model. The record is from RNAcentral.